UACAGAGGUCUCAAGCGUUGUUCGGAUUCAUUGGGCGUAAAGCGCACGUAGGCGGUGCAGCAAGUCAGGGGUGCAAGCUCCAGGCCUAACCUGGAAACUGCCUCUGAAACUACUGUGCUUGAGGGUCAGAGGGGAAACUGGAAUUCACGGUGUAGCGGUGAAAUGCGUAGAUAUCGUGGAGAACACCGGUGGCGAAGGCGGGUCUCUGGGCCGACAUUGACGCUGAGGAGCGAAAGCGUGGGGAGCGAACAGG
This 253-nucleotide ribosomal RNA is filed under the name uncultured bacterium. RNAcentral's name for it is "partial 16S ribosomal RNA". It matches the Rfam family "Bacterial small subunit ribosomal RNA", at positions 524 to 776 of the family's 1533-position model. The record is from RNAcentral.